Marmota flaviventris (yellow-bellied marmot) is the source of this 839-nucleotide long non-coding RNA. RefSeq lists it as uncharacterized. Lineage: Eukaryota; Metazoa; Chordata; Mammalia; Rodentia; Sciuridae. The record is from RefSeq and is a predicted model, not a curated record.
UUGAUCGCUUGGUUAGCCCAAGAUACUAUGUGGAAUGAGAAGAUUCCUAUGUUGAUCAGUUUGAGGAUAAGGGAGUUACAGUUCUAAAGAGCACAGAAAAGAUUUCCAGACUACCGAAUGUACUCCCAUCUGCCCUUGUCCCUUCCAAGUUGCUCAAGCACGGAGAGGGAUUUGAGUGGUUAUACUGUGGAAGUCCAGAAAUAACAAACAUCACUUCUACUCUAUGGCCAGAAGCAGUGGGUGUUAUACCCAUCGCCUUUCUACCAUGACAGAUCAAUUAACUCAGCAACAUUAAGUUCCAGCUGUUGCUCAGGAAAAACAAGGAACAGAACACUCUGAAUAUUAAAGGGAAAGGCAGCAACCCAUACCUCCCUCAAUUUGGAGAAAAGGUUCUGCUAAUUAGCAGUAACAGAAAGGACUGAAGCUAUUUCCCAGUCCCAGAGAAGCAAAAGUGUGAACUGAAAUCCCACAGAAAGUCAUCAGCUCUGGAUCAGAGGGAGUUGUGCUCACAGCAGUGUGUGUGACCGUACUCAGAAUACCUGUGUGUUCUGAGACUCUACUGCCCAUUUGUAUGCACAGUGACCUUACAAAUGCUGUUAACCCAGUAUGAUAGAUAAGAAAUCACCUUACUCCUAAAUUUUGUGUUCCUAAUUCUGCUAUUACUGGGAAGAAGUGAAUCAAUCAGAUCAAUAUCACAAGUUUGCGAGAAAAAGUGUGGUAUACGAAUCUUAAUUUUUGUCAUUUUAUAGAGUACAAAGUAGCAUGCAAAAUAAGCAUAGAAAUUCUCCAUCCAUACUUUUUAAGAUUUGUGCAUUCUAUUAUAUGUAAAAUACACUUCA